This is a small nucleolar RNA of Cathartes aura (turkey vulture), 40 nucleotides long. It matches the Rfam family "Small nucleolar RNA SNORD83", at positions 39 to 78 of the family's 78-position model. Rfam says of the family: U83 (SNORD83) and U84 (SNORD84) are members of the C/D class of snoRNA which contain the C (UGAUGA) and D (CUGA) box motifs. They act as guanine methylation guides but lack complementarity to ribosomal RNA. U83 and U84 are spliced from introns 5 and 4 of the BAT1 gene in mammals. The record is from Rfam. NCBI's taxonomy places the organism in Eukaryota, Metazoa, Chordata, Aves, Accipitriformes, Cathartidae.
UGCAAAGAUGACCUUCAUCUAUCACCCCAGGCUGAUGGCU